This 495-nucleotide ribosomal RNA is filed under the name uncultured bacterium. RNAcentral describes it as "partial 16S ribosomal RNA". It matches the Rfam family "Bacterial small subunit ribosomal RNA", at positions 28 to 507 of the family's 1533-position model. The record is from RNAcentral.
GACGAACGCUGGCGGCGUGCCUAAUACAUGCAAGUAGAACGCUGAAGGAGGAGCUUGCUUCUCUGGAUGAGUUGCGAACGGGUGAGUAACGCGUAGGUAACCUGCCUGGUAGCGGGGGAUAACUAUUGGAAACGAUAGCUAAUACCGCAUAAUAGUAGAUGUCGCAUGACAUUUGCUUAAAAGGUGCAAUUGCAUCACUACCAGAUGGACCUGCGUUGUAUUAGCUAGUAGGUGAGGUAACGGCUCACCAAGGCAACGAUACAUAGCCGACCUGAGAGGGUGAUCGGCCACACUGGGACUGAGACACGGCCCAGACUCCUACGGGAGGCAGCAGUAGGGAAUCCUCGGCAAGGGACGGAAGUCUGACCGAGCAACGCCGCGUGAGUGAAGAAGGUUUUCGGAUCGUAAAGCUCUGUUGUAAGAGAAGAACGAGUGUGAGAGUGGAAAGUUCACACUGUGACGGUAUCUUACCAGAAAGGGACGGCUAACUACGUG